This 439-nucleotide ribosomal RNA is filed under the name uncultured bacterium. Its description in RNAcentral is "partial 16S ribosomal RNA". It matches the Rfam family "Bacterial small subunit ribosomal RNA", at positions 338 to 795 of the family's 1533-position model. The record is from RNAcentral.
CCUACGGGUGGCAGCAGUGGGGAAUAUUGGACAAUGGGGGGAACCCUGAUCCAGCGACGCCGCGUGAGUGAAGAAGUAUUUCGGUAUGUAAAGCUCUAUCAGCAGGGAAGAAAAUGACGGUACCUGACUAAGAAGCCCCGGCUAACUACGUGCCAGCAGCCGCGGUAAUACGUAGGUGGCAAGCGUUAUCCGGAAUGACUGUGCGUAAAGGGUGCGUAGGUGGUUUAGUAAGUUGGCGGUGUAAUUCCGGGGCUCAACCCCGGCGAGCCGUUGAAACUGGCUGUCUUGAGAUGUCGAGAGGUAUGCGGAAUGCGCAGUGUAGCGGUGAAAUGCUUAGAUAUUGCGCAGAACUCCGAUUGCGAAGGCAGCAUACCGGCGGCGAUCUGACGCUGAGGCACGAAAGCGUGGGUAUCGAACAGGAUUAGAUACCCUGGUAGUC